Molecule: ribosomal RNA, 1450 nt
Filed under: Klebsiella sp. VITPGP5AA
Lineage: Bacteria; Pseudomonadati; Pseudomonadota; Gammaproteobacteria; Enterobacterales; Enterobacteriaceae
Description: bacterial SSU rRNA
Rfam family: Bacterial small subunit ribosomal RNA
Source: RNAcentral
AAGCGAAGGCGGAGGCUUACCAUGCAAGUCGAGCGGUAGCACAGAGAGCUUGCUCUCGGGUGACGAGCGGCGGACGGGUGAGUAAUGUCUGGGAAACUGCCUGAUGGAGGGGGAUAACUACUGGAAACGGUAGCUAAUACCGCAUAACGUCGCAAGACCAAAGUGGGGGACCUUCGGGCCUCAUGCCAUCAGAUGUGCCCAGAUGGGAUUAGCUGGUAGGUGGGGUAACGGCUCACCUAGGCGACGAUCCCUAGCUGGUCUGAGAGGAUGACCAGCCACACUGGAACUGAGACACGGUCCAGACUCCUACGGGAGGCAGCAGUGGGGAAUAUUGCACAAUGGGCGCAAGCCUGAUGCAGCCAUGCCGCGUGUGUGAAGAAGGCCUUCGGGUUGUAAAGCACUUUCAGCGGGGAGGAAGGCGGUGAGGUUAAUAACCUCAUCGAUUGACGUUACCCGCAGAAGAAGCACCGGCUAACUCCGUGCCAGCAGCCGCGGUAAUACGGAGGGUGCAAGCGUUAAUCGGAAUUACUGGGCGUAAAGCGCACGCAGGCGGUCUGUCAAGUCGGAUGUGAAAUCCCCGGGCUCAACCUGGGAACUGCAUUCGAAACUGGCAGGCUAGAGUCUUGUAGAGGGGGGUAGAAUUCCAGGUGUAGCGGUGAAAUGCGUAGAGAUCUGGAGGAAUACCGGUGGCGAAGGCGGCCCCCUGGACAAAGACUGACGCUCAGGUGCGAAAGCGUGGGGAGCAAACAGGAUUAGAUACCCUGGUAGUCCACGCUGUAAACGAUGUCGAUUUGGAGGUUGUGCCCUUGAGGCGUGGCUUCCGGAGCUAACGCGUUAAAUCGACCGCCUGGGGAGUACGGCCGCAAGGUUAAAACUCAAAUGAAUUGACGGGGGCCCGCACAAGCGGUGGAGCAUGUGGUUUAAUUCGAUGCAACGCGAAGAACCUUACCUGGUCUUGACAUCCACAGAACUUUCCAGAGAUGGAUUGGUGCCUUCGGGAACUGUGAGACAGGUGCUGCAUGGCUGUCGUCAGCUCGUGUUGUGAAAUGUUGGGUUAAGUCCCGCAACGAGCGCAACCCUUAUCCUUUGUUGCCAGCGGUUAGGCCGGGAACUCAAAGGAGACUGCCAGUGAUAAACUGGAGGAAGGUGGGGAUGACGUCAAGUCAUCAUGGCCCUUACGACCAGGGCUACACACGUGCUACAAUGGCAUAUACAAAGAGAAGCGACCUCGCGAGAGCAAGCGGACCUCAUAAAGUAUGUCGUAGUCCGGAUUGGAGUCUGCAACUCGACUCCAUGAAGUCGGAAUCGCUAGUAAUCGUAGAUCAGAAUGCUACGGUGAAUACGUUCCCGGGCCUUGUACACACCGCCCGUCACACCAUGGGAGUGGGUUGCAAAAGAAGUAGGUAGCUUAACCUUCGGGAGGGCGCUACCACCUAGGAUACAUGGGGUU